GCGGGUGUGGUGGAAUGGUAGACGCGGGGGUCUCAAAAACCCCUUCCGAGAGGAGUGUCGGUUCGAGUCCGACCACCCGCACCA
Molecule: transfer RNA, 84 nt
Filed under: Caulobacter sp.
Lineage: Bacteria; Pseudomonadati; Pseudomonadota; Alphaproteobacteria; Caulobacterales; Caulobacteraceae
Also listed under: 1 other name
Description: tRNA-Leu
Rfam family: tRNA
About the family: Transfer RNA (tRNA) molecules are approximately 80 nucleotides in length. Their secondary structure includes four short double-helical elements and three loops (D, anti-codon, and T loops).
Source: RNAcentral